AUAUCAGUAAGCGGAGGAAGGGAAACUAACUAGGACGCCCUCAGUAACGGCGAGUGAAGCGGGGCGAGCCCAUAUUUGAAAUCGCGCAAGCGAAUUGUAGUGAUGGUUGUACGCUUAUUGUGUUGUGGUCUGCCAAGUUCUCUUGGAAAAGGGCAUCAUAGAGGGUGACAAUCCCGUUGAUUGCAGGCCGCGGCGCGAGUAUAGGGUGCAGCCGACGAGUCGGGUUGUUUGGGAAUGCAGCCCAAAGUGGGUGGUAAACUCCAUCUGAGGCUAAGUAUGGUAACGAGACCGAUAGCGCACAAGUA
This 305-nucleotide ribosomal RNA is filed under the name uncultured eukaryote. Its description in RNAcentral is "partial large subunit ribosomal RNA". It matches the Rfam family "Eukaryotic large subunit ribosomal RNA", at positions 40 to 350 of the family's 3401-position model. The record is from RNAcentral.